CCAUUAUCGAACGUUGGCCGUUGGGAUUUGCUUCGACGAGGGAUACGGAUAAAAUACAAGCGUAAAACCUCGUUCGUUGCAGUAUAUUUUGGACAAAUAAACAAUUUAUUAGGAAAAUACGUUCAAGAAACGUCUCGUGCUGUACUAGCCUAAUUCUGGCAAAUGUUAUUUACUUUCUUCACCUUCGUGUCGAAGACUGUUGUUUGCUGAUGGCCAAAUCACGACAGCGGACAUCAAUUAUUCAAAAUAUGUUCUUAUAGCUUCACGUUUACGAUACGAAACACGUUUUAAUGUAAGAUUAUUUAUUUUUUGUAUAUGUAGGUUGUAGUUGAAAGUGACAACGACAAAUUGAAAAAAGUGCAAACAACAUUGAAAUAUCCAGUUCACUACUAGCUCAAAUCCUGCGACAUAUCACUUGCUAGUAGCCCAGUCUAGUUUAACUUUUCCCAAUCAAGAAUCAUCUCCUGAAUCAGGCAUACUGGCAACACUGGUUCAUUUGAUAAUGUAAGUUUUUAAACUGGUAUUUUAGAUUAUAGCCUCGGUCAAAUGAGGAUGAAAGUCAUGCAUGAAUUGCUUAUAAAUACACAAAGGACAUUUCAAGUUCCACAUGAACAAAAUAUUAUUAAAGCUUUGAUGAGUGUUCCAACUAUGUUUCAACUUAAUUAAAAUACUCUCAUCCUCGUUUGAUCCAUAAUUAUUUGUUGAUUUUACUCGAUACUAAAUAGUGAAACAUCGAAUCCAGAUAAAAUCUUAUGCAGAACCCACUGUAAUUCCGAGC
Molecule: non-coding RNA, 778 nt
Organism: Paramuricea clavata
Lineage: Eukaryota; Metazoa; Cnidaria; Anthozoa; Malacalcyonacea; Plexauridae
Source: the annotation of a GenBank genome assembly